Molecule: long non-coding RNA, 232 nt
Filed under: Monodelphis domestica (gray short-tailed opossum)
Lineage: Eukaryota; Metazoa; Chordata; Mammalia; Didelphimorphia; Didelphidae
Description: lncRNA (ENSMODG00000048737.1)
Source: RNAcentral
AAGAAAUGCAACUCACAGGGUCUUCAGAAAAUCAGGACACCUUUCAAGGCAGCCAGUCUAACCUUUGGCAGAACUGUUACAUUAAUCUUCCUUAAAGAGAAUGUUGUGGGUGCCACAACAGGCCUGUUGGAACCUCUCCAGAAACUGUGGCAUAUGUAUUAAACUAAGCUUGAGCAAGGAACUAUCACAGUGCCUGGCACAUAAUAGAUAGUUAAUAAAUGCUUACUGAAUU